CACAAGCCAGGCCAGCAGAGAGCACUCCCAUGACACCUCCUGCAUCUCUCUACAGGGUCCUAUUCAGAGGGGUCCUUGGCCAAGCUGCAGCCCAAGCUUGGUGACAGAGAGGAGGAGGAGAAUGGCCUGGAGUCAACAGCAGAUGUCUCUGUGCUGGCUGGAGGUGACCCACUGGAUGGCUAUGAUGAUGCCAGGGACAUUGCUAACCCUGGGCAGGAGCCUAUGUUUAGACAGGGAGCCAGGGAAAUGCCCAGGGAGCCAGAGGAAGGAUCAGGACCCAGAGAUGUGGCUGGAGAUGGCUCAGUCCUGGCUGGAGGUGACCCAGUGGAUGGCUAUGAUGAUGCCAGGGAGAUGUCUGCCCCUGCACAGGAUCCUGUGUUUAGACAGGGAGACAGGGAAAUUCCCAGGGAGCCAGAGGAAGGAGCAGGACCCAGAGAUGUGUC
This is a long non-coding RNA of Pogoniulus pusillus (Red-fronted tinkerbird), 443 nucleotides long. RefSeq lists it as uncharacterized. Lineage: Eukaryota; Metazoa; Chordata; Aves; Piciformes; Lybiidae. The transcript is spliced from 3 exons. The record is from RefSeq and is a predicted model, not a curated record.